Molecule: non-coding RNA, 457 nt
Organism: Pantherophis guttatus
Lineage: Eukaryota; Metazoa; Chordata; Lepidosauria; Squamata; Colubridae
Source: RefSeq, a predicted model, not a curated record
ACUUACUAUCAACCAAGAUGCUCUUUCACGGCUAAAGUCGCUCAAUAAGUCCCUGCCUCAGUCCAAAUGUGUGGAAAGUUGCCAUCCUGGAUUUGUCAAGAGGGCUCGAGAAGGAGAGCCAGUUUGCUGCUACGACUGCGUUCCUUGUCCGGAGGGGACCUUCUCCACUCAGGAAGAUACAAAAAAAUGCACCAAGUGCCCAGAUGAUAAAUACCCAAAUGAGGACAGAGUCCAAUGUAUCCCCAAAGUUAUAACCUUCCUGUCUUAUGAAGAACUUCUGGGCAUCAUCCUGGUCUCUUUUGCCCUACUCUUCUUCCUAACCACAGGUCUUGUUUUAAUCAUCUUCAUUAAAUACCAAGAAACUCCCCUUGUCAAAGCCAACAACCGGGACCUCUCCUACAUCCUCCUGGUCUCCCUCCUGCUUUGCUUCUUAUCUCCUCUUCUCUUCAUUGGUCAA